CCGGUUGAUCCUGCCGGCGCGCACCUGCUAUCGGAAUACGAUUAAGGCAUGCGAGUCGAGAGGGGCAAGACCUCGGCAGACGGCUGAGUAACACGCGGGUAACCUGCCCUGGAGUGGGGGAUAAUCUCGGGAAACUGAGGAUAAUUCCCCAUAGGUGUGGUGUGGUGGAAUGCUUCCACGCUAAAAACCACGGUGCUCCAGGAUGGGCCUGCGGCUUAUCAGGUUGUAGUGGGUGUAUGGGACCCACUAACCUACGACGGGUAGGGGCGUUGAGAGAGUGAGCCCCCAGAUGGAUUCUGAGACACGAAUCCAGGCCCUACGGGGCGCAGCAGCCUACGAAAACUGCACAAUGUGGGAAAACCACGAUGCGGGUAAUUCCGAGUGACAACUGCAUUGCGUUGUCUGUUCUUUCGCCCAGAAA
RNAcentral lists this ribosomal RNA (421 nucleotides) under uncultured archaeon. Its description in RNAcentral is "bacterial SSU rRNA". It matches the Rfam family "Archaeal small subunit ribosomal RNA", at positions 4 to 425 of the family's 1478-position model. The record is from RNAcentral.